RNAcentral lists this unclassified non-coding RNA (230 nucleotides) under Hevea brasiliensis (rubber tree). The record is from RNAcentral. Lineage: Eukaryota; Viridiplantae; Streptophyta; Magnoliopsida; Malpighiales; Euphorbiaceae.
GGUUUUUUUUUUUUUUCAAUUCCUUUGUUCCCUUUGCUCAUGAGAAUCGGGUUUAAUCAUUCUGUAAUACUAUGCAAUUAUAAAAACAAGCAAAUUGUGCAUCACAGAACAUAGUUAUUAAAGGUUCAAGACACAUUAAGGCACUAAGGAGUCCCGGAGCCUAGGCGCAAGACACAAAGCGCAAGCGCGCACCUAAGCAAAAUGAAGCACAAAAGUAAAAAAUUUUAAAA